Molecule: ribosomal RNA, 812 nt
Filed under: uncultured Actinomycetes bacterium
Lineage: Bacteria; Bacillati; Actinomycetota; Actinomycetes
Description: bacterial SSU rRNA
Rfam family: Bacterial small subunit ribosomal RNA
Source: RNAcentral
GCCUGCAGCUUGCUGCGGGUACUCGAGUGGCGAACGGGUGAGUAACACGUGGGUGAUCUGCCUUGCACUUCGGGAUAAGCUUGGGAAACUGGGUCUAAUACCGGAUAGGACAGCUGUUUAGUGUCAGUUGUGGAAAGUUUUUUCGGUGCAAGAUGAGCUCGCGGCCUAUCAGCUUGUUGGUGGGGUAAUGGCCUACCAAGGCGUCGACGGGUAGCCGGCCUGAGAGGGUGUACGGCCACAUUGGGACUGAGAUACGGCCCAGACUCCUACGGGAGGCAGCAGUGGGGAAUAUUGCACAAUGGGCGGAAGCCUGAUGCAGCGACGCCGCGUGGGGGAUGAAGGCCUUCGGGUUGUAAACUCCUUUCGACAGGGACGAAGCGUAAGUGACGGUACCUGUAUAAGAAGCACCGGCUAACUACGUGCCAGCAGCCGCCGGUAAUACGUAGGGUGCGAGCGUUGUCCGGAAUUACUGGGCGUAAAGAGCUCGUAGGUGGUUUGUCGCGUCGUCUGUGAAAUUCCGGGGCUUAACUCCGGGCGUGCAGGCGAUACGGGCUGACUUGAGUGCUGUAGGGGAGACUGGAAUUCCUGGUGUAGCGGUGAAAUGCGCAGAUAUCAGGAGGAACACCGAUGGCGAAGGCAGGUCUCUGGGCAGUAACUGACGCUGAGGAGCGAAAGCAUGGGUAGCGAACAGGAUUAGAUACCCUGGUAGUCCAUGCCGUAAACGGUGGGCGCUAGGUGUAGGGGGCUUCCACGUCUUCUGUGCCGUAGCUAACGCAUUAAGCGCCCCGCCUGGGGAGUACGCCGCAAGGCUA